This 73-nucleotide transfer RNA is filed under the name Pteropus alecto (black flying fox). It matches the Rfam family "tRNA". Rfam says of the family: Transfer RNA (tRNA) molecules are approximately 80 nucleotides in length. The record is from Rfam by way of RNAcentral. RNAcentral also lists the same sequence under 1 other name. Lineage: Eukaryota; Metazoa; Chordata; Mammalia; Chiroptera; Pteropodidae.
GGUUCUAUAAUGUAGUGGUUAGCACAUCUGCUUUAUAUGUAGAAGGUCCUGGGUUUGUGCCCCAGUGGAGCCA